ACUGCCCCUUGAGGCAUUGUAGAUGUGGGUGCUGUGUCACAUUUGUGUCAUUAGGUGGCAGAGAGCGGAGAGGCCUGUCUAUACCCAGUGUUCUGGCAUGAGUGCCUGGAUGAUUGAUGGUCUGACACU
This is a small nucleolar RNA of Artibeus jamaicensis (Jamaican fruit-eating bat), 129 nucleotides long. RefSeq annotates it as small nucleolar RNA SNORA17. The record is from RefSeq and is a predicted model, not a curated record. NCBI's taxonomy places the organism in Eukaryota, Metazoa, Chordata, Mammalia, Chiroptera, Phyllostomidae. The transcript has a single exon.